AUACGUAGGUGACAAGCGUUAUCCGGAUUUACUGGGCGUAAAGGGCGUGUAGGCGGUCUUGCAAGUCAGAAGUGAAAUUCCUGAGCUCAACUCGGGCGCUGCUUCUGAAACUGCAGGACUUGAGUGCUGGAGGGGAUAGCGGAAUUCCUAGUGGAGCGGUAAAAUGCGCAGAUAUUAGGAAGAACACCGGUGGCGAAGGCGGCUAUCUGGACAGUAACUGACGCUGAGGCGCGAAAGCGUGGGGAGCAAACAGGAUUAGAUUCCCUGGUAGUCCACGCCGUAAACGAUGAAUACUAAGUGUAGGGGGUAUCGACUCCCUCUGUGCCGCAGUUAACACAAUAAGUAUUCCGCCUGGGGAGUACGGUCGCAAGGUUGAAACUCAAAGGAAUUGACGGGG
RNAcentral lists this ribosomal RNA (397 nucleotides) under uncultured bacterium. Its description in RNAcentral is "partial 16S ribosomal RNA". It matches the Rfam family "Bacterial small subunit ribosomal RNA", at positions 523 to 918 of the family's 1533-position model. The record is from RNAcentral.